CCGGCAUCCCCGGGGGACCGCUCAGCGCGGUUGAGAGGGAGCGAGCACGCUCCGACCCGCCGAACCUGAUCCGGCUCACACCGGCGUAGGGAGGGAGACGCGGUCAUCG
RNAcentral lists this non-coding RNA (109 nucleotides) under Altererythrobacter sp. Root672. RNAcentral describes it as "TPP riboswitch aptamer (THI element)". It matches the Rfam family "TPP riboswitch aptamer (THI element)". Rfam says of the family: Vitamin B(1) in its active form thiamin pyrophosphate (TPP) is an essential coenzyme that is synthesised by coupling of pyrimidine and thiazole moieties in bacteria. The previously detected thiamin-regulatory element, thi box was extended, resulting in a new, highly conserved RNA secondary structure, the THI element, which is widely distributed in eubacteria and also occurs in some archaea. RNAcentral also lists the same sequence under 1 other name. Lineage: Bacteria; Pseudomonadati; Pseudomonadota; Alphaproteobacteria; Sphingomonadales; Erythrobacteraceae. The record is from Rfam by way of RNAcentral.